Molecule: ribosomal RNA, 253 nt
Filed under: uncultured bacterium
Lineage: Bacteria
Description: partial 16S ribosomal RNA
Rfam family: Bacterial small subunit ribosomal RNA
Source: RNAcentral
UACAGAGGGUGCAAGCGUUAAUCGGAAUUACUGGGCGUAAAGCGUGCGUAGACGGUUAUGUAAGUCAGGUGUGAAAGCCCCGGGCUCAACCUGGGAAUUGCAUUUGAGACUGCAUAGCUAGGGUGCGGAAGAGGGAAGCGGAAUUUCCGGUGUAGCGGUGAAAUGCGUAGAUAUCGUAAGGAAGACCAGUGGCGAAGGCGGGUCUCUGGACAGUUCCUGACGCUGAGGCACGAAGGCCAGGGGAGCAAACGGG